RNAcentral lists this ribosomal RNA (970 nucleotides) under uncultured organism. RNAcentral's name for it is "bacterial SSU rRNA". It matches the Rfam family "Bacterial small subunit ribosomal RNA", at positions 521 to 1487 of the family's 1533-position model. The record is from RNAcentral.
UAAUACGGAGGGGGCAAGCGUUGUUCGGAUUUACUGGGCGUAAAGGGUGCGUAGGUGGAUUGGAAAGUGAAGUGUGAAAGCCCAAGGCUCAACCAUGGAACUGCACUUCAAACUAUCAAUCUUGAGUAUAGGAGAGGUAAGUAGAAUUCUCAGUGUAGCGGUGAAAUGCGUAGAUAUUGAGAAGAAUACCAUAAGUGAAGACGGCUUACUGGCCUAAUACUGACACUAAGGCACGAAGGCUAGGGGAGCAAACAGGAUUAGAUACCCUGGUAGUCCUAGCAGUAAACGAUGUCAACUUGGUGUGGGGGGGUUCGACCUUCUCUGUGCCGGAGCUAACGCGUUAAGUUGACCGCCUGGGGAGUACGGCCGCAAGGCUAAAACUCAAAGAAAUUGACGGGGACCCGCACAAGCGGUGGAGCAUGUGGUUUAAUUCGAAGCAACGCGAAGAACCUUACCAGGACUUGACAUCUACUUGACAGGAUGUGAAAGCAUCUUUCCCUUCGGGGCAGGUAGACAGGUGUUGCAUGGCUGUCGUCAGCUCGUGUCGUGAGAUGUUGGGUUAAGUCCCGCAACGAGCGCAACCCUUGUUUUCAGUUACCAGCGGGUUAUGCCGGGGACUCUGGAAAGACUGCCGGUGACAAACCGGAGGAAGGUGAGGAUGACGUCAAGUCAUUAUGGCCCUUACGUCCUGGGCUACACACGUGCUACAAUGAUCGGUACAGAAGGACGCGAUACCGCGAGGUGGAGCAAAUCCUGGAAAACCGAUCCCAGUUCGGAUUGGAGUCUGCAACUCGACUCCAUGAAGGAGGAAUCGCUAGUAAUGGCAGGUCAGCUACACUGCCGUGAAUACGUUCCCGGGUCUUGUACACACCGCCCGUCACAUCAAGAAAGUUGAUCUCCCCCGAAGUCGCCGUACCAACCCGUCAAGGGAGGAAGCGCCGAAGGUGGGAUUGAUAAUUUGGAUGAAGUC